UAACCUACGGACGCAGCAGUAGGGAAUCUUCCACAAUGGACGAAAGUCUGAUGGAGCAACGCCGCGUGAGUGAAGAAGGGUUUCGGCUCGUAAAGCUCUGUUGGUAGUGAAGAAAGAUAGAGGUAGUACUUGCCUUUAUUUGACGGUAAUUACUUAGAAUGUCACGGCUAACUACGUGCCAGCAGCCGCGGUAAUACGUAGGUGGCAAGCGUUGUCCGGAUUUUUUGGGGGUAAAGCGGGUGCAGGCGGGUUCAUAAAUCUGGUGU
This 266-nucleotide ribosomal RNA is filed under the name uncultured bacterium. Its description in RNAcentral is "partial 16S ribosomal RNA". It matches the Rfam family "Bacterial small subunit ribosomal RNA", at positions 333 to 595 of the family's 1533-position model. The record is from RNAcentral.